AACGAACGCUGGCGGCAUGCCUAACACAUGCAAGUCGAACGAGAUCUUCGGGUCUAGUGGCGCACGGGUGCGUAACGCGUGGGAAUCUGCCCUUUGGUUCGGAAUAACAGUUGGAAACGACUGCUAAUACCGGAUGAUGACGAAAGUCCAGAGAUUUAUCGCCAGAGGAUGAGCCCGCGUAGGAUUAGCUAGUUGGUGUGGUAAAGGCGCACCAAGGCGACGAUCCUUAGCUGGUCUGAGAGGAUGAUCAGCCACACUGGGACUGAGACACGGCCCAGACUCCUACGGGAGGCAGCAGUGGGGAAUAUUGGACAAUGGGCGAAAGCCUGAUCCAGCAAUGCCGCGUGAGUGAUGAAGGCCUUAGGGUUGUAAAGCUCUUUUACCCGGGAUGAUAAUGACAGUACCGUAAGAAUAAGCACCGGCUAACUACGUGCCAGCAGCCGCAGUAA
This 449-nucleotide ribosomal RNA is filed under the name uncultured bacterium. Its description in RNAcentral is "partial 16S ribosomal RNA". It matches the Rfam family "Bacterial small subunit ribosomal RNA", at positions 29 to 523 of the family's 1533-position model. The record is from RNAcentral.